Molecule: long non-coding RNA, 2269 nt
Organism: Bufo gargarizans (Asiatic toad)
Lineage: Eukaryota; Metazoa; Chordata; Amphibia; Anura; Bufonidae
Exons: 3
Source: RefSeq, a predicted model, not a curated record
CAGGGAUGCACCUGAAGGGAAUAAUAAUAAUAUGCAGACCGCCAGGCCAAUGUCUGCACCCAGCCUGGCAUUUUACCAGCAGCAGAUUACAGGAUUUCCUCUCCGGUGCAUCUCCAGCUAUACUCCAGGAGCAGCGAGGGGUGGUUUUGUGACCGAGAUGAUCCUCCUGUGGAACCUCGUUGUUUGGCAUCAUCUAAAAGCUGUCGUAUCCUAUCUUGAUCAAGACCUUCGAAUUACCGCCAAGUGAGGCCGCGCGACACCUUCUUUGAACCGUCUGUUGAAUGUGAACAAGCCCGCUUCACACGGUGGUCUGCGAGGCCAAAAAAGAAGAAAACACAGUGAUGUUCCUGUCACUCAGGAGUAUUUCGGAGUAAUGUCGGAGGAUGAGGCUACAUUAAACAGAUGCUAGCACUGUGAGGAGUGACACCCUUGAAACGUAGGGAUUGGCAGAACAAACGAUGAGGACAAAGAGACUGCUCCAAAUAUUAACUCAGCCGUUAGAUUCUGGCCAACGUCCACAGGGCCACGUUCCGAGGAAACCAUAGACGGGACCCUGCACACAAAACUGACUCUUUCUCUGCUGGUUGCUCUCAGGUUUCUGCUUGCUCUGGGCAGAAUCCUGGGGGUCUUAGUUGUAGACCCCAUUUAUGGAGAUGGUCCUGGAGGUAUGGGCCAUUCUGACAUGCAAAUGGAAGGGAGGCAAUGACAUAAAAAGCAAACCUAUAUUAUGCACAAAAAAUUACCUCCCCAAAUCUCCCUACGCUGAGGAAGGUCUCACAGCAACACAGAGUAUUUCAGGGGAAGGGUAGGCCACAUGACAGGGAGCAGAGUAAUGAUGUAAAGAGACUCUGACAGAGGAAUGGAGAAAAAUGGGAGGUCGCCAGCAGAAAGUCACAUAAUGGAAAGAGUGGGGUUCCAGCAGCACAGAGUAUUUUAGGAGAACUGUGUGAUGAUCGGGUGGGACAAUGGCCUUUCAAAUCCUAUGAUAUAGGACUGCAUUCAACAGUGUCAUGAUGGAAGCCAUGGAAAGUGGGGGUUGUGAAAGACUGGAAGUUACAUAGUAGAAAGAGAAGAGUCCCAGCAGCACAAAGCAUUUCAGGAGAACUGUAUGAUGAUCGGAUUGGACAAUGGCCUUUCAAAUCCUAUGAUAUAGGACCGCAUUCAACAGUGUCAUGAUGGAAGCCGUGGAAAGGGGGGGUUGUGAAAGACUGGAAGUUACAUAGUGGAAAUAGCAGAGUCCCAGCAGCACAAAGUAUUUCAGGAGAUCAGUGUGUUGGCAAAUGACCUUUCAACUCGAUGACAUAGGGCUGCAUACAACAGUGUCAUGAAGGGAGCAGUGGGAAGUGAGGGGGCUUUACACGCUGGACGUUACGUAGUGGGAAAGAGCAGACUCCCAGCAGCACAGAGUAUCUCAGGAGAAUAGCAUGCUGUGACCAUCACUGGGUGUUUUAAGGCUUAAGUAUCAUUGCGGCCUCCUCCGGGGUGACACAGUAUAGGCACACAUCGAGGCGCCGUAAUAAGAGGUUCUGCAGGGGUAGGAAAUGUAUAAAAUGGUUGUAAACCGUCUCAGUAAUGAAAUAUCACAGUCUACAGUUUAAUAGGAAAAUAAAGCCCUCGCAGGAGCGGAAUCCGCCGUUACAUCUGAAUCACUGGCCCUGUGUCAGCUUCAUUUGAACGCUCUGUAAUAAAAUAAAGAAAAUAUAUUUAAAGUGUGUUCUCCGGUCCAAGGUAUACAGAGCGCGAGGACGCCGCAGUACGUGGAAGCAGAACGCAACACUUCUAGCUGGGGGAUAUUUCAAUGAAUACACGCCGGCCCUGCCAAUGUUUUUUUCCUAUGGAAUCUGUGAGCUCGGUGGAGGUUUGAUGAGUAUCGAUGUACAGCGGGUGGUGGAACCCCUGUAGGAGGCUCCCAAAGGCCAACCACUCCUCCGCCUUUUAUCCUUAUACCCCUGUUUAACUCCAGCAUAGUAUAUAGAUCACUUCAUAGUAUAUAUAUUUAUUUAUUUUUUUACUGGGAACUCCGUUUUUCACAAACAGAGCUCCAAAUCCCCUGCAGUGACACACAGUAAAAUUAUACAAUUGUAGUUCCCUGCAGUGGCCACUAGGGGAAGCGCUAUACAUUGCACCCAAUAGUACAGUAUGCAAGAUGCUCCUGAGCUCCCCUAGUGGUGGCUGCAGGCAGACAGAAAUGUAUCGAAAUUAGAAAUGUAUAGAAAUUAGAAUAUUGCGCAAAGUUCAUUUAUUUCAGUAAUGCAACUUAAAAGGUGAA